UGCCGCUGACCACUUCUCAGAUUUCUAUUAACCCGAGGACCAGAACAAGCAGGUUGAUGUGCAAGUAUAUAGUUUCUAUUGGAAGAGUUAGCUUCAGACAACGUACGAUCUAUGCAAAAUCCAUCAUCUCAUGCUUGCAUAACAAGACCGAUGGUAAUUUGUUUACUACUCUACUUACUGCAGUUUACAAAUUCUUUUAUGGCUUCAGUUCCCACGCCGCUGCGCGUGCAGGUCUCUGCUUGCUCAGUCCUCUUGCCGCGACACCAUCACCAAGUCACUCAGAGCCCACCACCGCCACAAACACCCCAUGCCAUCACGCGUGACAGUCGCAGCAUCACAACUUCACGGUAAAUCAUUAAAAUUUCAAAACACCAGUCAAUUCAUGUUCAAGUCGAGAACUAAUAAUGUAGACGACCUUCACGUCGAAAAUGCUGUCUAAAUAAGCACAAUACAAAUUAUUUUGGCCUGGUAUACCACUAAAACAUUUUUGAAAUUAUUUGAAAAGUAUAAGAUAUUCAUUGUUAUUUCUCCAUUAAGAUAUCCCCCUUUGUUAGUACUGCCCUAUUCCUUUUCCUUUUUUCAGGAAAGUGGAAGGAGUGAUGAAGAACUAAAACAUAGUUACAGUGGGCGUUUUUUAUAGGAACAAAACUGAAGAAUUUGACAUUAAUAUAAUUUUAGUAUUAAUUCAAGUGUCCCUGGUUUUGCUAGCAUCAGAUCAUGUUGACCUAAUUGUCCAUGGUUACACUCAUCUUCAAACGGCACAACUUGUUUUGCUGCACAUCUUCUCUUACCCUAUGACGAACAGGUAUUCUAUGUUUCAUCCCUCUCUUAUUUCACACUGCAUUAACAAUGUUUUCUCAGUACGUGGAUUUGCCUAACUUUGACUUAUUGAUUAUUCAUUUUGUUACUGAUGUGUACACAAACCCUGCCUAAUUAAUUUAGUCUACUAUAUCUAACCAUAUGAAAUCUCAAAGUUGAUUCAGACUACUUGCCUGAUGGUGUGGUACAUUACCUCUGGGUUUUUUUUAACUACGAGAGCAGAACGACGGCGCCGACGUGGAUGACUCGGAGCUCAACCUUGCAAAGGGCCGCGAGCAGCGGCGACUUUCUUUUCCACGAGAAGAUGACCAAGGGCGCCAUCGGCCAUUUUGUCGUCGUCGUCGAAGAGUCCAAGCUCGUCCCCGCAUCGGUUGCAUUGGUGCCGAUCAGGUGCUAAUCUGAAUCCUUAUCCAAUUUCAUGUGGACUAUAAAAAAACCAGGGUUGAAUGCACAUUACCAUCACACUGCCAUUUAGUUUUUGUUGGUACGCAAUAAUAUUGCUACAAUUCUAUUUAUAGAUUUUUUGCCCAUUUUGUCUUUGUCUUUGUCCAUGGUCAGAUCAUGGUUUUUAGGCUUGAUUGUUAUGAGUCAGUAAGGUGAGAAUGAGCGGUAAUGGUUUAACUAAUCAUGCCAUCAUGUUUUUAGUAUCACUAAUUUAUCUAUGCUAAUUCUUUCAACAUUAUUGUCAUUGUUGAUGAUUCUAAAAGGUAAAGAGAAAUGUUAGAAUGCACCUUCUUCUAUGGCAUGCGGCCCCGACGGCACCGCAGAUGUCUAUGCGGUCUUCGUCCUUAACCACUGUCUAGCGCCACUACCCUGCAGCUUCUGUGACCUCUGUUGGCCUCCUCAUGGCUCCUUCACCCUCCAGCUUCCCACGUGCUUCUCUGUUGCACAAAAACUUUCCUGCCCAGGUGGUUGCCGGUUUUCUGGAUUGGUUUUGCUACUAUUGAAGAAGUAGAACCAGUUCCACCCAAAUCGAUUGUUUAUUUGUGUAAUGCAAUCUCUAUUAUGCUCAGAGUCUGAUUGGCAUUUUCCAAAUCAAUGCACGGGGACCUUCAAUUUGAUUCAGUUUUAUCUUCUACUGCAGAUAGGGAAACAUGGACAUUGGAUAUCCAUUUCUUAGGUGUCAAUCUGGUGCUUAGGCUGUAUUAUAGUACAGGGCAGAGUUCUUCCAUCUACUAAUUUAGGUAAUCUGAUUUAUAGGUUAGGCACGCACUUUGCUUUAAGCAUAGUUACCUAUUCGAUGGUGACCAACCCUCUCUCAGAAGCGCCGUACAAACAAUUCAGGCGCUUGCUUAAAAUUUACUCCCUCCGUCCCAAAAUAAGUGUCUCAAUUUUGUACUAGCUCUAGUACAAAUUUGUACUAAACUCAAGACACUUAUUUUGGGACGGAGGGAGUAUUACUUUAGAGACAUGGGGAUCCUGAGGUUGACACACUUGAUUCUUGCUGCUGCUUAUGCAUCCCUGAACUUUUGUUAAAUGUAUGAUUAUCUGGAUAUUCCCAAUACGUUAUCAAGUGUAGGGUUCAGAAAAUAAGGACAGCCAUUUGUUCCACCUUUUGUAGUUCAUCAAGCAUAUGAUGUUAAGAAAAUGACAACUUGCCAGGUUACAGUUCUGAAAUAUUUUCGUUUGUAGCAUAUGUACCAGCAAGAUGGUGAACUAGAUUCAAAUUUGAUACUCCUCUUUUCCGUGAAAUAUUUCCUCUGCAUUUUUAUUUGUCAUUUAUAUGUUUGGAUGCUCGUGUUGCAAGGUUCAGCCACUGCUUCAACAUUGUAGGAAUUUCUUGUGGUCUCGAAUGGAUGAACAAAGAGCGCUAGCUUCGUAAUGCCUCUGAGACGAUAUGUCGGAGAUGGUAUUGAUUUAUUUUUUAAGGUAAGCAAGCGACUUAUUUGGAGUAAUCUCAGGGAUAUGUCUUUGUUAUCAGUUGCAAGUUACUGUGCAGAUUGAUAAUGGUAAAAAUAUUGUUGGAUAAAUCUAAUUCCAUUGAAUUAACAGAUUUUUUCCGUUGUGGGCAUUCGAAUAUUUAGAGUAAUAUGCAUGCACAAUUGUCUUAAAUCUACACGUAACCAGUCAAUCAUUACUUUGUACUAUAUGCUAUGAAAAUAUUAUGUGAGCAAACUUAAGUAGUAACCUUAUAUGGCUAUGCACUGAAAAUGGUCUUAGGUACGUCCAGUUUCAAUACAUUCACAUAUUGAGGCCACUGUAAAUGCUUCUACUAUUGCAGGUUCAACUUGAAUCUUCACUUCCGUAGGCAUGUAACUGAUUCGCUUCUUGAUGAGUUUAUAGCUCGCUGAUUCAAUCCAUAUAGCUUGCGAGGUGCUGGUAUAGUCUUAUACGACAUUUGAUCUACAUUUUAUUAAAUGUCUUUCCCUUAAAGAAAUAUAGUGCGAAGAAAUUAAAUUUUAGAAACAACUGCUGGUUACUGUUGUUUGUGAAUUCUAUUUAAUCCUUCACAAUUUUUAAAUAGUUUAUCUUGUGCUUCCUUAACUAUUUGUCUGCAUAUAUAUACAAUUCUUUUGAAAUUUAUUGUUAAUAAUUUCUUGAAUACAACAAUACACUAAAAGGCAUGUGGUAAUGCAUGGGCAUCUAACAUGCUAAAAAACACGUUGACCUUGGAGAUGACCUUAAUUAUUUAUUUGAUUCAUUUAUAUGCAUUGUAGCCCGUAGCAACGCACACGCGCUCUACUAGGAUAUUUUUAAUGCCAUCGGCACCCUCGCCAUGCCAUAUUUUUGAUGACUACAUGUCAUAUUUUUAACUAACCUUUGACCUUCCCCAUCGGCACCCCCGCCAUGCCAUCUCAACGUCAACGGCCCGAUGACGCCGACCCCUUAUCAACGUGGCCAUAUUGUCCGGGCGGGCAAGUCAACGUUAGGUGGCCGGAUCCCAAGAUGGAGGUAUGUGUGCUUGCUUGUUGAUGUGUUUUUGUUCGAUGUGCUUGCUGCCAUGGUCGAUUUCUAUCUGUGUUGACAUCAGCUUUCUCCUGACGGCAUAGUCACGUGCUCGACCAUAGCGACAACUACCAGGAAGGCAGUGGCCUCACCGAGGAAGACAUACGUGCUCACGCAGGGCGGCCUCCUACCGAUCCACGACUUUCUUCCGGGUGGCGGCGCACACAAGGUCAUCCACAUCGGCUUCAACAAGACGCGAGUAUCCACACGGAGGACGGCUUGCUUGCUGAGGGCGUUGUCCACCCGGACGACGGUGUGCUGUUGACCACGCAAAGGGCCGCAUCCACCUGGACGACGGUGUGCUGGCGGAGUAUGGCGUCCGCCCGAACGAUGACAGAUAACGUGGCGAACGAUGACGGCCACCAGGUACUCCCCGGCGAUGGCGGCAGCAUCAUCAUGGACGACAGCAUGCUUAUGGCCAGUGACGUGCUUGCAGAAGGCGUUAUGAGAGAGGCAACCAGCAGGACGGUGACGACCACGUGCACGCACUCAAACACAGCAGCAGCAAGCACAGGACGAUGGCGACCAGGUGCGCAUGCAAGCAUCUCCUAGGAACUGGGGCUGAACGACGAGGCUAGCAUCUCAUACGAGCUCACGCUCAAGCACAAGAUUGUCUGGGCUGGGUGUCUCAUCUGGCCUUGCUGAUAUGUGUCCUUUUCUCCUCUCAUGAGAUCAUCAGGUGCCAAUUAUGCUGGAGUUGUAUACCUUGUAGGUAGAUAAUACACUGCAAGGCCUGGCCAAUAAGCAUUUCCUAUUUGGCGAUGAAUGUUACAAUAGUAGGAUCUGCAUCUAGGCACCCUUAAAUGAACUGUAACUUACAGAGCAAGCAAAUCAUAUACAUUGUUUGUGGGCCCAAUCUCAUUCAUAUAUAUAAUCAUUAUACUUCCAUUAUAAAUUUGUUUGAAAGCAAUUUGGUCAUCUCUAACGUUUUUCCAUCACUGCUUGAGAAAGUAGCUCUUUUCGGUUGUAGCGCUCAAAUAUGUCAAUGCAUAUCUCUGUCAGCUGAAUGAGUAUCUUGGAAUUCUUAGUUCAUAAUAAUUUUCUGUUCAGUAUCCAGCUGUGACAACAGUAGCUUCUUGCAUCUACGCGAAUGCGAUGGUUAAAUAUACUGCAACUUAUAUUUGAGCAAAUCAUAUAAACUUAAAACACUUUGCCUGACAUUCAUAACCUAUAUACUUCCUCCUGCCCAAAUGGGUCAACAAGGAACAAAGGGGUCGACACAUGGAGAAGUGGGAGCAUAAAAUUCAAAAGGUACUGAACAUGUGUAUGGAUUACACCGGUGAGUGAAUGGUGUGGCACAUUGAGUCAGAGAGUAGUUGCUAGACUGGUAUGAAAAACAGUUGUUUCUCGAUUAGAUUAAGUCUAAACUUAUCUUCAACAUGUGUGCUCUUUUAUCACCAUUUUAGAAGAGGUUCAAUGCAGAAUCCUUAGAUUGCCAAUUUUUACUUCAUUGGAAGCACUUUAUCGAUACGUUUGGAAUAAUUCUCAGAUUCCAUGAAACAUGUUCGUGACACCAAUUUUAACUAAAGAAUAAAGCAAUCUCAAUUUUGUUCUGUAACAAAUUAAAAUAUUAUCCUUUCCUAUGAGAAAAGAAAACAUAUACUACAUUGAAGCGAUUGCCAAUUGAAGGAAGCAUUUUCUAUGGUCAGUCCAAACAAAAAAAAAUUAACCAUAUGGAAACAAUAUUUAGUUGCCAUAGAUGUAAUUUGACCCGAAACAGUUUUCUUACCAUCCAAAAAAAGGAAGUGAAAAAACCUUCCAAAAGCAAGGAGUAUCAACAUUUGAAACAAAAUAUAUUUUCGUACAGAAGUAAUUUACAUCUAUGGAAGCAAUUUUUUGUUCAUCACUAACCUGAAUCAAUAUGUGUUAUGUUCUCUUUCAGAGAAGUGAACUAUGAAAUCCCUCCUCAUUCCAAACAAUGAAAUUAUGAGGCUGAAAGUACAAAUUUCAUACGACAUGGCUGACUUAGAGAAAAAAAUGGGCGUAUUUGGAGCCGGAUGGAAACAUGGGCAGAUUUGGAGCAGUGUGAAGACGGCGCAUGCUGGUGUUGCAAUGACCAAAAGCGCCGAAGUGAAAGAAGAGAUGGAAUGACAAUGACGCAACCUUGUAGCGUGAUUCUUGUAUGUAUA
This 5894-nucleotide long non-coding RNA is filed under the name Triticum aestivum (bread wheat). RNAcentral's name for it is "long non-coding RNA (TAES_LNC028218)". The record is from RNAcentral. Lineage: Eukaryota; Viridiplantae; Streptophyta; Magnoliopsida; Poales; Poaceae.